UGAAUACGAGAUGCUACGGCGUCGAAGCAGUCUAUGUCAUACUUCCAAGAAAAGCUCGCACUGUCAUAAACAAAUAAUGCCUGUACCAUAACCGACACAGGUGGGUAGGUAGAGUAUACUAAGGGGCGCGAGAUAACUCUCUCUAAGGAACUCGGCAAAAUGACUCCGUAACUUCGGGAGAAGGAGUGCCUUAUUUAUAAGGUUGCAAUAACAAGAUCCAAGCAACUGUUUAUCAAAAACACAGGUCUCCGCUAAGUCGUAAGACGAUGUAUGGGGGCUGACGCCUGCCCAGUGCCAGAAGGUUAAAGAAGUUGGUUAGCAUUCGCGAAGCUGAUAACUGAAGCCCUGGUGAACGGCGGCCGUAACUAUAACGGUCCUAAGGUAGCGAAAUUCCUUGUCGGGUAAGUUCCGACCCGCACGAAAGGCGUAAUGAUUUGGAUACUGUCUCGGAGAGGGGCUCGGUGAAAUAGACUUGUCUGUGAAGAUGCGGACUACCUGCACCAGGACAGAAAGACCCUAUGAAGCUUUACUGUAACUUGAGAUUGAAAUUGGACUUUACUUGCGCAGUAUAGGUGGGAGGCGUUGAUAAUAUUCUUGCGGGAUUAUUUGAGCCAUCAGUGAGAUACCACUCUUGUAAUGUUAGAUUUCUAACUCUGUAUCAUUAUCUGGUCAAAGGACAGUUUCAGGCGGGCAGUUUGACUGGGGCGGUCGCCUCCUAAACGGUAACGGAGGCGCACAAAGGUUUCCUCUGAACGGGUAGAAAUCGUAUCUAGAGUGUAAAGGCAUAAGGAAGCUUGACUGUGAGACCUACAAGUCGAGCAGGGACGAAAGUCGGUCUUAGUGAUCUGACGGUGCUGAGUGGAAAGGCCGUCACUCAACGGAUAAAAGUUACUCUAGGAUAACAGGCUGAUCUCCCCCAAGAGUUCACAUCGACGGGGAGGUUUGGCACCUCGAUGUCGGCUCAUCGCAUCCUGGGGCGGUAGUACGUCCCAAGGGUUGGGCUGUUCGCCCAUGAAAGCGGUACGCGAGCUGGGUUCAGAACGUCGUGAGACAGUUCGGUCCAUAUCCGGUGUAGGCGUUAGAAUAUUGAGAGGAGCCUUCUUUAGUACGAGAGGACCGAGAAGGACAUACCUCUGGUGUACCAGUUAUCGUGCCAACGGUAAACGCUGGGUAGCUAUGUAUGGAGUGGAUAACCGCUGAAAGCAUCUAAGUGGGAAGCCCACCUCAAGAUAAGUAUUCUC
RNAcentral lists this ribosomal RNA (1241 nucleotides) under metagenome. RNAcentral describes it as "bacterial LSU rRNA". It matches the Rfam family "Bacterial large subunit ribosomal RNA", at positions 1564 to 2815 of the family's 2925-position model. The record is from RNAcentral.